CCGCUGGUGGUCUAGUUGGUUAUGGCUUUCGGCUGUAAUGGAUAAUUGCCACCGAAAAGUCGCCGGUUCGAAUCCGGCCCGGCGGA
Molecule: transfer RNA, 86 nt
Filed under: Monascus purpureus
Lineage: Eukaryota; Fungi; Ascomycota; Eurotiomycetes; Eurotiales; Aspergillaceae
Rfam family: tRNA
About the family: Transfer RNA (tRNA) molecules are approximately 80 nucleotides in length. Their secondary structure includes four short double-helical elements and three loops (D, anti-codon, and T loops). Further hydrogen bonds mediate the characteristic L-shaped molecular structure. tRNAs have two regions of fundamental functional importance: the anti-codon, which is responsible for specific mRNA codon recognition, and the 3' end, to which the tRNAs corresponding amino acid is attached (by aminoacyl-tRNA synthetases). tRNAs cope with the degeneracy of the genetic code in two manners: having more than one tRNA (with a specific anti-codon) for a particular amino acid; and 'wobble' base-pairing, i.e. permitting non-standard base-pairing at the 3rd anti-codon position.
Source: Rfam by way of RNAcentral